RNAcentral lists this non-coding RNA (25 nucleotides) under Mus musculus (house mouse). The record is from RNAcentral. Lineage: Eukaryota; Metazoa; Chordata; Mammalia; Rodentia; Muridae.
UAGAGAUUCCACAGGCUUUUCCAGA